This 253-nucleotide ribosomal RNA is filed under the name uncultured bacterium. RNAcentral describes it as "partial 16S ribosomal RNA". It matches the Rfam family "Bacterial small subunit ribosomal RNA", at positions 524 to 776 of the family's 1533-position model. The record is from RNAcentral.
UACGUAGGGAGCAAGCGUUGUCCGGAAUCAUUGGGCGUAAAGAGCGUGUAGGCGGCCAGGUAGGUCUGCUGUGAAAACUCGAGGCUCAACCUCGAGACGUCGGCGGAAACCAUCUGGCUAGAGUCCGGAAGAGGAGAGUGGAAUUCCUGGUGUAGCGGUGAAAUGCGCAGAUAUCGGAAGGAACAUCAGUGGCGAAAGCGACUUCCUGGACCAAUACUGACGCUCAUGUGCGAAAGCGUGGGGAGCAAACAGG